AGUUAAAGAAUUUACCAACCUUACAGCCACCGUUCCCGGGGGAACCAUUAAAAUUAUACAUAGCCGCAUCCGACAAUGCCACUAGCACGGUACUAAUGACUGAAAGGGAUGGUACGCAACGGCCAAUUUAUUAUUACUCGCGCACAUUACAAGGAGCAGAGAAGAAGUAUCCACAAAUUGAGAAACUGGGGUUAGCAAUAGUAACAACGGCAAGGAGGUUAAAACCUUAUUUCCAAGCACACCCAAUAACCAUCCCAACAGAAUUUCCAUUGUUACAGUUGUUGCAUAAGCCAGAUGUAUCGGGCAGAUUGACAAAGUGGGCUGUGGAAUUAAGCGAAUUUUAUAUAAGUAUAGUACCAGCAAAAGCAAUCAAAGGACAAGCAGUCGCUGAUUUCUUGGCAGAAUUUACACCAAGUGGGGAGGAAGUUGAGAGUUGGUGGAUUAUUCAUGUUGAUGGAUCGGCAGGUAAUUCUGGAUGCGGAGCAGGAAUAAUAAUCCAGACACCUACGAAAGAAAAGAUAGAACACGCAAUUAACUUUAACUUCAAAACAACAAACAACGAAGCAGAGUAUGAAGCACUAAUAGCAGGAGCACAACUAGGAAAAGCGUUAGGAGCCAGAAGGGCAAAAUUUCAUACGGAUUCACGGUUAGUAGCAAAUCAAGUCAAUGGGGAAUUCAUGUCAAAUGAAGAAGGGAUGUGUCGAUACACAGAAGCAGCACGUGACACAUUGCAACAUUUCGCAGAAUGGGAACUACAUCACAUAAGCCGCACGGAAAAUAAAGAGGCAGAUAUUUUAGCAAGAUUGGGCGCGUCCCCAGGUGUGCCAAAAGGGCGAUGGGUUCGAGUAGAACAUCAGGAAAUGCCAUCAAUAGCAAAAAGUGAAAGAAACAAAAUCCUUACAUUAGCAGUAAAGGAGGAUUGGAGAGUACCAAUAAAAAAUUACAUUACAAAAGGAAUAGUCCCGACGGACGCGAUGGAGGAGAGAAAGUUGAGAAAUAAAGCGGCC
This 1007-nucleotide long non-coding RNA is filed under the name Zostera marina. RNAcentral describes it as "long non-coding RNA (ZMAR_LNC003372)". The record is from RNAcentral. Lineage: Eukaryota; Viridiplantae; Streptophyta; Magnoliopsida; Alismatales; Zosteraceae.